RNAcentral lists this long non-coding RNA (330 nucleotides) under Gossypium raimondii (Peruvian cotton). RNAcentral describes it as "long non-coding RNA (GRAI_LNC001091)". Lineage: Eukaryota; Viridiplantae; Streptophyta; Magnoliopsida; Malvales; Malvaceae. The record is from RNAcentral.
AGCAUUAUAGUCUUGAUAUUCGACUUUUUAUAGCCGAUUAAAAAAACCCUAAAUUUUUUUUGUCCUUUUGCGAUUUGGCUUGUUUCUUCUUGUUGCGUGUUGUCCAUUUUGCAGGUGAUUGACGGGGUGUGACAGGGAGCAGGUGGCGGUGCAGUUGGUGCCAGUGGCAGAGACGUGUGGCGCCAGGAGUUAGGUGUAGUGCCAGAAACCCUCAUGAUUUGGGCCAUUGGGCUUCUGUUUUUAUAUUUGGGCCAUGUGGUUUGGGUUGUCAUUGUAAUAGACUGUUUAUCAUUUGAUUUUGGGUUUCAUUUGUUCAAAUUUGGGCCCGGG